RNAcentral lists this transfer RNA (83 nucleotides) under Gemmatimonadota bacterium. RNAcentral's name for it is "Gemmatimonadetes bacterium (freshwater metagenome) tRNA-Asp". It matches the Rfam family "tRNA". Rfam says of the family: Transfer RNA (tRNA) molecules are approximately 80 nucleotides in length. Their secondary structure includes four short double-helical elements and three loops (D, anti-codon, and T loops). Lineage: Bacteria; Pseudomonadati; Gemmatimonadota. The record is from RNAcentral.
GCCCCCGUGGUGGAAUGGUAGACACGCCCGGCCGUCAAUCGGGUGAACUGCGGCUCGUGAGGGUUCGACUUCCUCCGGGGGUA